RNAcentral lists this ribosomal RNA (254 nucleotides) under uncultured bacterium. Its description in RNAcentral is "partial 16S ribosomal RNA". It matches the Rfam family "Bacterial small subunit ribosomal RNA", at positions 524 to 776 of the family's 1533-position model. The record is from RNAcentral.
GACGAACCGUGCGAACGUUAUUCGGAAUCACUGGGCUUAAAGCGCGUGUAGGCGGGUGGGCGCGUCGGCCGCUGAAAUCCCCCGGCUCAACCGGGGAAGGGGCGCCGAGACGGCCGGCCUGGAGGGACGUAGGAGGGGCUGGAACUUCCGGUGGAGCGGUGAAAUGCGUUGAGAUCGGAAGGAACGCCCGUGGCGAAAGCGAGGUCCUGGACGCCUACUGACGCUGAGACGCGAAAGCCAGGGGAGCGAACGGG